RNAcentral lists this ribosomal RNA (496 nucleotides) under uncultured bacterium. RNAcentral's name for it is "partial 16S ribosomal RNA". It matches the Rfam family "Bacterial small subunit ribosomal RNA", at positions 29 to 507 of the family's 1533-position model. The record is from RNAcentral.
AUGCACGCUGGCGGCGUGCCUAAUCCCUGCCAGUCGCGCGAACAGACGAGGAGCUUGCUCCUCUGACGUUAGCGGCGGACGGGUGAGUAACACGUGGAUAACCUACCUAUAAGACUGGGAUAACUUCGGGAAACCGGAGCUAAUACCGGAUAAUAUAUUGAACCGCAUGGUUCAAUAGUGAAAGACGGUUUUGCUGUCACUUAUAGAUGGAUCCGCGCCGCAUUAGCUAGUUGGUAAGGUAACGGCUUACCAAGGCAACGAUGCGUAGCCGACCUGAGAGGGUGAUCGGCCACACUGGAACUGAGACACGGUCCAGACUCCUACGGGAGGCAGCAGUAGGGAAUCUUCCGCAAUGGGCGAAAGCUUGACGGAGCAACGCCGCGUGAGUGAUGAAGGUCUUCGGAUCGUAAAACUCUGUUAUUAGGGAAGAACAAUUGUGUAAGUAACUAUGCACGUCUUGACGGUACCUAAUCAGAAAGCCACGGCUAACUACGUG